This 74-nucleotide transfer RNA is filed under the name Sus scrofa (pig). It matches the Rfam family "tRNA". Rfam says of the family: Transfer RNA (tRNA) molecules are approximately 80 nucleotides in length. Their secondary structure includes four short double-helical elements and three loops (D, anti-codon, and T loops). The record is from Rfam by way of RNAcentral. Lineage: Eukaryota; Metazoa; Chordata; Mammalia; Artiodactyla; Suidae.
UCCCUGGUGGCUCAGUGGGUUAAGGAUCUGGCAUUGUUGUUGCUAUGGCACAGGUUUGAUCCCUGGCCAGGGAA